Non-coding RNA from Cyanistes caeruleus (blue tit), 985 nucleotides. The record is from RefSeq and is a predicted model, not a curated record. NCBI's taxonomy places the organism in Eukaryota, Metazoa, Chordata, Aves, Passeriformes, Paridae.
GCUGAUGGGAGUUUUCUCCUGGCCAGUAACUAACCAUUUCUGAGAACUGACAGUGGUUUUGAUCAUUGAAAAGUGAGAUCAGCCUGUGAACACUGCCUGAAGAUGUAGCCCGGGAAUUUCUUCCUCUCUUUGGUUUCUGGCUUCUGAAGAGGAACUUUCUAAACUGCUCAUGGCUGUUGAAGUUUGAAAGCUGUAUCUGCUCUUUUCCUGGAAAAGAAAAAUUAAUCAUCUUAGUAAUAUUUAACUAUUUGGAGGAGAUUCAAGAUGUCUUUUGAAUAUUCAUUUUGUCCAAAGCCACAAGACAUAAAUUUAUGCCUACAUUGACACAGGUGCUUCUUGGAGUUGGAUUUGUUCUUGGCUAGACUGAGUUCACCCCAAUCCAAAUUUGGGUUCUCCUGCCAGAUCAAACAGAGUUGCCAAGAAAGGCACGGCUAACUUCUAAUCCAGGCCUGCAGUACAGAUAGAGCUGCCUCUUUUUUACUUCUGAAGCGCCUUCUUCCCUUUCCAGCAUAUUCAACAAAAAUGCAGAAACAAGCCUAAAAAACACUGCAGUGUGAUGCCUGAAUGUGCAUGACAUGAGUUGCUAUGCUGCAGGAUACAGUGGUGAACUGCACUGUCAGAAGGUCAGUAAACCAAGUAUAAGUAAAAGAAGACAGACAUUCCUUCCCAUGCAGGAAAGUCUGGGAUUUCCUGUGAAGCAGUUAGAAAAAAGUGGGACACGAUCUAAAUAGAAGGUAGCCCGAAUAAUUUUAUUUUUGUUACCUUGCUAGUCAGUGUUUUCAAAUAGGGUAAUACUUGCUGUCAACAAAACAACAGUUCUUUUGCCAGAACAGUACUUCAUUAUUUUUUUCCUAUGUUUAACAAUAUGUUUACUUCUAUCCUCCAGCUACCCUUUCUCAUUUUGUCAGGUAAGAUAGGAAAAUAGAAACUUCCUUAAAAAAAAAAAAAUCCAAAAAAGGCCCCCAAACCGAACAAAAAAACUUCA